Molecule: ribosomal RNA, 453 nt
Filed under: uncultured bacterium
Lineage: Bacteria
Description: bacterial SSU rRNA
Rfam family: Bacterial small subunit ribosomal RNA
Source: RNAcentral
UACGGGAGGCAGCAGUGGGGAAUAUUGCACAAUGGGCGCAAGCCUGAUGCAGCCAUGCCGCGUGUAUGAAGAAGGCCUUCGGGUUGUAAAGUACUUUCAGUCGUGAGGAAGGUGUUAAGGUUAAUAACCUUAGCAAUUGACGUUAGCGACAGAAGAAGCACCGGCUAACUCCGUGCCAGCAGCCGCGGUAAUACGGAGGGUGCGAGCGUUAAUCGGAAUUACUGGGCGUAAAGGGCACGCAGGCGGUUAAUUAAGUUGGAUGUGAAAUCCCCGGGCUUAACCUGGGAAUGGCAUUCAAGACUGGUUAGCUAGAGUCUUGUAGAGGGGGUAGAAUUCCAUGUGUAGCGGUGAAAUGCGUAGAGAUGUGGAGGAAUACCGGUGGCGUAGGCGGCCCCGUGGACAAAGACUGACGCUCAUGUGCGAAAGCGUGGGGAGCAAACAGGAUUAGAUACC